GCCAGGCGUGGUGGCACAUGCCUGUAGUCCCAGCUACUUGGGAGGCUGAGGCAGGAGAAUCGCUUGAACCCAGGAGGUGGAGGUUGCAGUGAGCCAAGAUAGUGCCAUUGAACUCCAGCCUGGGUGACAGAGUGAGACCCUGUCUCAA
This is an unclassified non-coding RNA of Papio anubis (olive baboon), 148 nucleotides long. It matches the Rfam family "Metazoan signal recognition particle RNA". Rfam says of the family: The signal recognition particle (SRP) is a universally conserved ribonucleoprotein. It is involved in the co-translational targeting of proteins to membranes. The record is from Ensembl. Lineage: Eukaryota; Metazoa; Chordata; Mammalia; Primates; Cercopithecidae.